RNAcentral lists this ribosomal RNA (195 nucleotides) under uncultured Rhizophagus. RNAcentral describes it as "partial 18S ribosomal RNA". It matches the Rfam family "Eukaryotic small subunit ribosomal RNA", at positions 569 to 766 of the family's 1831-position model. The record is from RNAcentral. Lineage: Eukaryota; Fungi; Glomeromycota; Glomeromycetes; Glomerales; Glomeraceae.
AGCAGCCGCGGUAAUUCCAGCUCCAAUAGCGUAUAUUAAAGUUGUUGCAGUUAAAAAGCUCGUAGUUGAAUUUCGGGGUUAGUAGGUUGGUCAUGCCUCUGGUAUGUACUGGUCUUUCUGAUUCCUCCUUCCUGAUGAACUGUAAUGCCAUUAAUUUGGUGUUGCGGGGAAUCAGGACUGUUACUUUGAAAAAAU